AAAAAAAAAAAAAAAAAAAAAAUUGGGGAGUGACAGUCAAGGGGUUAAGCUACAAUCAAGGCUUGUUUAUAUUCGCGCAUCUACUGGUGUUGGUUCAUCACUCUUACUCGGCUGUUGCGGCUUUCACUUUACACUUUUAAACUUUCAGACAGCUGUGCCCUCAGCCAACCCGGAUUCUUCAGUCUGCCCUCCGUUAGCAGACAUAAUACUAAACGAAGUGCUUACGUCAGCUGGAAAUCACAUUUCUAAGGCGUCGCUCCCUCUACAAUCAAGCCUACACGUUUGCAUGGUCCGCUUCUAAUGUUUUUCCUUCCAAUUUUGCGUUCCUAUUCUAAUUUCGACCGUUGCUCCUUUCUUGUCAAAAAAAAAAAAAAAAAAAAAAAAAAAACGCAAUCUUUAUUUCUCUAUUCGCAGACUCCUUGCCAGCAUCUAAUCCACGCUAAAUUUUAUAAUCAAAUUUUCAAGCCUUUGGUUAUUCAGUUCUAUUACUACUUGAGGGGUUAGCUAAAUCUUCCAACAAAUUAAAGACAAAUGUCUGCCUAUUACCCUGCCCAUAUUGCAAAAUGAAUUACUUCAAUCUGCUACGGCCUUCCUUCAAAGUACCUCAAUAUUCUUCUGGAGGCAGUGUUUAUCUGCUUUCUACAGGUUAUGCUUCCAGGGGAAUUCACUUCAAACCAAUCAAUUUGAUCCUGCUCGCGGCAUUUCCUUCAGAUCUAUGAUUCGGACCAAAAAUUCUUCACACUCUCCUCAAGCACUCAAAAACCGAUGUGCAAGGUUCUGGUGUCACCUUAACAAUUCUAAAAUCAAUAAUCCUGUCCCUUCUCUGCAUGGUGAAAUUUCUUAAAAAUCCGACCUAGAAUUUCUAAAACGCACCAGCUCUAUUUUUCCUAACGGAGCCCCCUUUCCAAGGCUGUUUAGAACUCACUUAACCACUGUUCUCAAAGCUGCAGUCUAUCUACUGGCCAUUCAUUCAGAAUUGGGGCAGCUACUUCAGCAGCUGAAUGAGGGAUCUCUACAUCAGCUGUUAAGAUCAUGGGCAGAUGGUCUUCCUAAGCAUUUGAAUCAUACAUCAGACCUGAUUCAAAACCAUUAUUGAAGCUCAGCAAGCUCUCCUGUAACUAAUCAGGAACCUUAGGAUUCACAACUGGUGGGUAUACUUCAUCUACUUUUUUUGGGGGGGAAGGCUGGCCCCGUCUGGAGGUCUCAUAAUCCACCUAAUUUUGGGGGUCUGCUGCGCCCCUGCCUUCGUCUUCAGGCAGGAAAUGCAGAUUCGCUACCCUCGGAUUACGAACCAUGGACGGGGCCUUCCGCCAAAGAAAUUUAUAAUUGUGCUCGCUGAGCUGUCAAUAAAUGUAUGCUUCGUACAUUCCUCUA
Molecule: long non-coding RNA, 1374 nt
Organism: Carassius gibelio (silver crucian carp)
Lineage: Eukaryota; Metazoa; Chordata; Actinopteri; Cypriniformes; Cyprinidae
Exons: 2
Source: RefSeq, a predicted model, not a curated record